GCUGACGGAGUUAUAGCGCGGUACUAACGCACUCGUAAUGCGUAGGCCGGGGGUUCAAUUCCCUUCACCAGCA
This 73-nucleotide transfer RNA is filed under the name compost metagenome. RNAcentral describes it as "tRNA-Thr". It matches the Rfam family "tRNA". From Rfam's summary of the family: Transfer RNA (tRNA) molecules are approximately 80 nucleotides in length. Their secondary structure includes four short double-helical elements and three loops (D, anti-codon, and T loops). The record is from RNAcentral.